GAUGAACGCUAGCGGCAGGCUUAAUACAUGCAAGUCAAGGGGGUAGCAAUACAACCGGCGCACGGGUGAGUAACGCGUACACAACAUACCAUAUACUGGGGUAUAGCUUUGGGAAACUGAAGGUAAUCCCCCAUAACAUUGCGAGAGGGCAUCUGAUUGCAAUUAAAGUUUCGGCGGUAUAUGAUUGGUGUGCGUUUGAUUAGCUAGUUGGUAGGGUAACGGCCUACCAAGGCGACGAUCAAUAGCUGGCGUGAGAGCGCGACCAGCCACACUGGAACUGAGACACGGUCCAGACUCCUACGGGAGGCAGCAGUAGGGAAUAUUGGACAAUGGGCGCAAGCCUGAUUCAGCCAUGCCGCGUGAUAGAUGAAGGCCCUCUGGGUUGGUAAAUAAUCUUUAUCUGGGAAGAAACUCCUCUAUUCUUAGAGGCCUGACGGUACCAGAGGAAUAAGCACCGGCUAACUCCGUGCCAGCAGCCGCGGUAA
RNAcentral lists this ribosomal RNA (485 nucleotides) under uncultured bacterium. RNAcentral describes it as "bacterial SSU rRNA". It matches the Rfam family "Bacterial small subunit ribosomal RNA", at positions 28 to 523 of the family's 1533-position model. The record is from RNAcentral.